Long non-coding RNA from Dreissena polymorpha, 1322 nucleotides. RefSeq lists it as uncharacterized. The record is from RefSeq and is a predicted model, not a curated record. NCBI's taxonomy places the organism in Eukaryota, Metazoa, Mollusca, Bivalvia, Myida, Dreissenidae. The transcript has 2 exons.
GUAUUCUGAACAUUUCUUAGAUAUUUUACAUAGAAUUUUCUAAUUCUUAAUUUUUUUCACUAAGAAAGUUUUUUAUCUAAGAUUUUUAUCUUAGAAUUUUUCUAAGACCAUUCUUAGAGAAAAAACGUUCUUAGAAAAUAAAACUAUUUUCGUUCGUAAAAAAUUUGUAUUAUCGACAGAUUAAGCGCUUUUUGCAGUUGUGCGCAUGCGCGUUAAUACUGCGAAGCAAAACAAUAUGGCAACUUCGAUGAACAAAGUGUGUCAUUCAAAUACGCGAGUGUAAUGUGUUUUAAGGCUUCAAACACAUUAUUUUAAUUGUAUAUAGGACGUAAUUCCAUCUACUUUGCGUUAAAGCCGAUAAUAAUGAAAUCGCUCAAACGUUCAGAGUAGAGUAACAGUUAUAAUGUGCAACGAAUUAUAUUCGCGCGAAUGUUGAACGAUUGUUAGAAUAUUACGUGUCUAAACAAUCUUCAAUCGUAAGCAAUAAAAUGUGUCAAGUCUGAACAGAAAACGGAUGGUUGCAUAAUGGUAUGUUUGGAAUAAUGUGAUUCUAUAUUUAUUUCAUAAUUAUGUCAUUUUGUAACCAUUCACCUUCGUCAAGAAUUGGAAUUCCUGUUUCUAAAAAUAGAAAAUUUCCCACGGAAUGUAAACAGGCGACGUGUUUGACAAAUACAAUGGCGUCAAAUAAGAAGGAGAGGGAACAUAAAUUUUCGCUAGACGACUGCAUCAUCUUAUGCAAUUUAAUGGCGAAAGACUGUGGUAUUGCGUUUUUGCAUGGAUUGAGUAACCAUGACCUGAUACGACAUAGAUUCACUGAAGGUGUCACUGCAGCUGUCACGACAAUGACCAACUCGAGGUGAUGUCAUUAGCAGAGCUGCUGAAGAGAAAGAAGAUAAUGCUUGAAAUUUGAUUGUUGAAAAAAAGUUGCAGUCACCAUACAUGUUUAAUUUUCAUUUUGAUCAUAAGGUUUUAUUUUAGUUAAUAUCAAAAUCCUUAGUCUAUAGAAAAAAUUCAAAACUUUUCAAAAUAGCAUUUGUUGUAAUGAAAAUUUAAUUUAUUUUUUACAAUGAAAGCACUUUUGUUCACAUGAAAUAUCUGCAUUUUGUUUGAAAACAUUUCCUAACACAUACAAUUAUAUGUGUCUUGUUCUGAGAAAACUGGGCAUAAUGCAUGAGCAAAAGUGUCGUCCCAGAUUAGCCAGUGCAGUCCGCACAGGCUAAUCAGGGACAACACUUUCCGCCUUAACUUGAUUUUCGGUAAUGAGGGACUUCCUUGAAACUAAAAAUAAUGUUUUGUUUUUGGGAAAUAAAUUAAUUACUUAC